Molecule: ribosomal RNA, 38 nt
Filed under: Anethum foeniculum (fennel)
Lineage: Eukaryota; Viridiplantae; Streptophyta; Magnoliopsida; Apiales; Apiaceae
Description: partial 18S ribosomal RNA
Source: RNAcentral
AUCCUUCUUCAGUAGGUGAACCUGCGGAAGCAUCAUUG